AUUGAACGCUGGCGGCAGGCCUAACACAUGCAAGUCGAACGAGUGGCGGACGGGUGAAUAGUGUCUGGGAAACUGCCUGAUGGAGGGGGAUAACUACUGGAAACUGUAUCUAAUACCGCAUACCAUCAGGUGUCCCCAGAUGGGAUGAGCUUGUGGGGGGGGUAACGGCGCACCAAGGCGACGAUCCCUAGCUGGUCUGAGAGGAUGACCAGCCACACUGGAACUGAGACACGGCCCAGACUCCUACGGGAGGCAGCAGUGGGGAAUAUUGCACAAUGGGCGCAAGCCUGAUGCAGCCAUGCCGCGUGUAUGAAGAAGGCCCUCGGGUUGUAAAGUACUUUCAGCGGGGAGGCGUUACCCGCAGAAGAAGCACCGGCUAACUCCGUGCCAGCAGCCGCGGUAAUUC
Molecule: ribosomal RNA, 406 nt
Filed under: uncultured bacterium
Lineage: Bacteria
Description: partial 16S ribosomal RNA
Rfam family: Bacterial small subunit ribosomal RNA
Source: RNAcentral